RNAcentral lists this ribosomal RNA (423 nucleotides) under uncultured Glomeromycotina. RNAcentral's name for it is "SSU rRNA". It matches the Rfam family "Eukaryotic small subunit ribosomal RNA", at positions 671 to 1092 of the family's 1831-position model. Lineage: Eukaryota; Fungi; Glomeromycota. The record is from RNAcentral.
UGGUAUGUACUGGUGUUAUUGGUUUCUCCUUUCUGAGGAGCCAUGAUGUCAUUAAUUUGGUGUCGUGGGGAAUCAGGACUGUUACUUUGAAAAAAUUAGAGUGUUUAAAGCAGGCACGCGCUUGAAUACAUUAGCAUGGAAUAAUGAAAUAGGACGUUCGAUUCUAUUUUGUUGGUUUCUAGGAUCAACGUAAUGAUUAAUAGGGAUAGUUGGGGGCAUUAGUAUUCAAUUGUCAGAGGUGAAAUUCUUGGAUUUAUUGAAGACUAACUACUGCGAAAGCAUUUGCCAAGGAUGUUUUCAUUAAUCAAGAACGAAAGUUAGGGGAUCGAAGACGAUCAGAUACCGUCGUAGUCUUAACCAUAAACUAUGCCGACUAGGGAUCGGAUGAUGUUAAUUUUUUAAUGACUCAUUCGGCGCCUUACG